This 265-nucleotide ribosomal RNA is filed under the name uncultured Streptococcus sp. RNAcentral describes it as "partial 16S ribosomal RNA". It matches the Rfam family "Bacterial small subunit ribosomal RNA", at positions 1117 to 1382 of the family's 1533-position model. The record is from RNAcentral. Lineage: Bacteria; Bacillati; Bacillota; Bacilli; Lactobacillales; Streptococcaceae.
GCCAUCAUUCAGUUGGGCACUCUAGCGAGACUGCCGGGUAAUAAACCGGAGGAAGGUGGGGAUGACGUCAAAUCAUCAUGCCCCUUAUGACCUGGGCUACACACGUGCUACAAUGGUUGGUACAACGAGUUGCGAGUCGGUGACGGCGAGCUAAUCUCUUAAAGCCAAUCUCAGUUCGGAUUGUAGGCUGCAACUCGCCUACAUGAAGUCGGAAUCGCUAGUAAUCGCGGAUCAGCACGCCGCGGUGAAUACGUUCCCGGGCCUU